Molecule: long non-coding RNA, 241 nt
Organism: Dicentrarchus labrax (European seabass)
Lineage: Eukaryota; Metazoa; Chordata; Actinopteri; Moronidae
Exons: 3
Source: RefSeq, a predicted model, not a curated record
CACAGAGAGUCAGAGACACAGAGAGUCAGAGUCAGAGACACAGAGAGUCAGAGACACAGAGAGUCAGAGACACAGAGAGUCAGAGACACAGAGAGUCAGAGACACAGAGAGUCAGAGACACAGAGAGUCAGAGACACAGAGAGACACAGAGAGUCAGAGACACAGAGACACAGAGAGUCAGAGACACAGAGAAACAGAGAGUCAGAGACACAGAGAGUCAGAGACACAGAGAGUCAGAGAA